UACGUAGGGUGCAAGCGUUGUCCGGAAUUAUUGGGCGUAAAGAGCUCGUAGGCGGUCUGUUGCGUCCGCUGUGAAAACUCGGGGCUUAACCCCGAGCCUGCAGUGGAUACGGGCAGACUAGAGGUAGGUAGGGGAGAAUGGAAUUCCCGGUGUAGCGGUGAAAUGCGCAGAUAUCAGGAGGAACACCAAUGGCGAAGGCAGCACUCUGGGACGUGACUGACGCUGAGACGCGAAAGCGUGGGGAGCAAACAGG
Molecule: ribosomal RNA, 253 nt
Filed under: uncultured bacterium
Lineage: Bacteria
Description: partial 16S ribosomal RNA
Rfam family: Bacterial small subunit ribosomal RNA
Source: RNAcentral